GAUUCAUUGGCUCUUAUUUAUUUUCUUCUUUUUAUUUCUCUUUUGAGCAUGCUUUUUUUCCAACCUCAAUUCUUCUAGAUAAGUGCUUCAUGAUACUUCUCAUAAUUUUUUCAUUUCUCUUUCUUUUUUUUUCUUUGAAGUUUCGUGGCUUUUCUCAUUUUUCUGCACUUAUCUACUCUUCAUCGGUGUCCCAAAAUUUUGAUGAAA
RNAcentral lists this long non-coding RNA (207 nucleotides) under Lathyrus oleraceus (garden pea). Its description in RNAcentral is "Pisum sativum (pea) long non-coding RNA (PSAT_LNC002533)". Lineage: Eukaryota; Viridiplantae; Streptophyta; Magnoliopsida; Fabales; Fabaceae. The record is from RNAcentral.